CCUUUUGGGUUAACUAAUGCACCUAGUACUUUCAUGAGAUUAAUGAACGAAGUUUUAUGUGCCUUCAUUGGACGAUUUGUGGUAGUUUACUUUGAUGACAUAUUGAUUUAUAGCCAAUCUUUAGAGGAACAUUUGGAACAUUUACGUGCUGUUUUUAUUGCUCUAUGUGAUGCACGUUUGUUUGGUAACCUUGGAAAGUGCACCUUUUGCACCGACCGAGUAUCUUUUCUUGGCUAUGUUGUCACUCCACAGGGAAUUGAAGUUGAUAAAGCCGAGAGUGAAGCUAUUGCAGUUGGUCGCAGCCCAAAACGGUCACACAAGUGA
RNAcentral lists this ribosomal RNA (324 nucleotides) under Triticum aestivum (bread wheat). RNAcentral describes it as "partial small subunit ribosomal RNA". Lineage: Eukaryota; Viridiplantae; Streptophyta; Magnoliopsida; Poales; Poaceae. The record is from RNAcentral.